Molecule: non-coding RNA, 798 nt
Organism: Misgurnus anguillicaudatus (oriental weatherfish)
Lineage: Eukaryota; Metazoa; Chordata; Actinopteri; Cypriniformes; Cobitidae
Source: RefSeq, a predicted model, not a curated record
UGAAAAGCGAGGCAGAGAGAGAGAAAGAGGCAAAUGAGGCGAGAAACACGUACGGGGAAGGAGAAGUAAAGACUAAAAGAUGCAUAAGACGUGAUCACAGCUGUGUAGGGGAAAAGACGGAUUUCAUCCACACCAAGAGCCGUGCAUUGCGGAGACCCAUGCGGAGACAAAUCCAAAUGUGUCGGGGCAUGUAGGGGUGUAUGCGAGAGAGAGAGAGAUGGAUUAUGUGCGUGUGUGGUGUGAUGCUAACAGCGGGAAACUGAGCAUGUGCUGUGUGUGUUUGCAUCCAAGUCAAUUCUUUGAGCAGGAGUGUGUGGUCGUGAGAUAAGAACUUACAAGGAAAUGCACAUUGACAGGUGUGCGCACAAGACAGGAUGUACUGAAGCUGUUGGAUCCUCUCAGCUAAGGUUUGAUUAGAGUGUGUUGGUCUGAAUAUAUCAAAGCGAGGUACUGCAUCAUUCCCUAGGGACAACUACACUGCCCAUCUGAUUUAACACUGCCAAUUGAUUUGGCUUGCUGUGAUCCGAUGACAUGGGAUCUAAUCUACUCAUCUGCGCUCUCCACCUGAGCUAAGGACGUCCUGCGGAUACGAGGCAGAAAGAACAACAGAAUGAAGAGUCUUCUCGUCCUGACUGCUAUGACGUUGUGUAAAGCAGACAAAACCAUCAAGAUAAAGAAAAGGGCUAUAUGUAUGUACAUUAAAAACAUGAGUUAUUGAAGGGACAUGUCCCCCUUAUUAUCUAUUGUGGUAACAGCCCUGUAACCAACUUUAUUACCUAGUCAACCAGAUUAAUUAAA